Molecule: long non-coding RNA, 345 nt
Filed under: Bos taurus (domestic cattle)
Lineage: Eukaryota; Metazoa; Chordata; Mammalia; Artiodactyla; Bovidae
Description: long non-coding RNA NONBTAT004262
Source: RNAcentral
UUCUGGGGGAAAUUUUUGCUGAGAAAAAGUGAGACUUUUCUUAAAAAUGAGAACUCUUAUAAUAAGUAAUUUUCUUUACCUUGAAAUUACAAUUUAAACAGAAGAUGCUCAAACACAAUUCCUUAAGUUACAUCUGAAAUACUUUAAGGGUUUCCAAAAUAGACAAUUAAAAUUGAAAUGAUUUUCUAAGAACUGCUUGUAUUUUAUAGAUUUUCUGCUGGGUUACAAUUUAAAGGAGUGAGAUAUUUCUUUGUAGAAAAUAAGACCAGGAGUAUGGUACCUACACAAACACACUCUUCUUAUCCUGAACAUCAGUUUUUAGUUUAAUGACUUAUUAAACAUCAA